AAACAAUUUAUCAAAGCUUACUCAAAAAAAAAAUAGAUAACCUGAAUAGUCCUUUUCUAUUAAAGAACUUGUACAUAUAAUUAGAAACCUUCCUACAAAGAAAAGUUUAGGAAAUAUGACUCAACUGGUGAACACUACUAAACUUUUAAGGACAAAACAUCCCAUUUCUACCCAAACCAUUCCACAAAAUUGAAAAAUGUGGGACAUUCUCCAGCUCAUUCUCUUACAUCAGCAUUAGGUUGAUCCUGAAAUCAGACAGAGACAUUGUGAGAAGACUAUAGACCAACAUCACUCAUAAAUAUAGAUGCAGAAAUUCUAAACAAUAUUUCAGUAAAUUAAAUCCAAAUUGCAUUGUACAAAAAGUGUGAUAUCUCAAGACCAAGUGAGAUUUAUCCCUUAAAGGCAAGGUUGGUAUAAUUUGGAAAACCAAACAGUGUAAUCCAUAAUAUUACCAAAUGGCAUGGGCACUCUUUUGGGUGAUGGAAACAUUCUAUAUCUUCAUUGUGGUGGUGAUUACAUGAUUGUAUAACUUUGUCAAAUGUUCUAGAGUGAUCACAGAAAUAAUGUGACAUUUAGUUAGCAUAGUUAAAAGUCUUUCAAACAUGUAUAUUUUGAAUUAUCAACUGUAAUAUUUUGCUGUCUUGAAAAUAUAAAUUCUCCGUAUUAUUUGUGCAAUAAUAGCUAAUGUGUGUAUUGAUCAUCAAGCCCAAAAUUUCUUACCUGUUUUCACUUAUGUUCCCUUCACCUGAUAAUUCAUGAUUGACACCAAACUAGGUUUUUACUGUUUUAUUAAAAUAUUCUUUGCUUUUGAUAUUUGCAGAUUUCUACAUGCCAGUGAGUAGAGAAGUAGAUGACUAAAUAAAGUGUAAUACUUAUUGAGAAUUGAUGGUUAGUCCUUUGCAUGUUACUUCCUCAAGCAGAAUGUGAGAUCAUUAAAAGCACAGACCUUGGAAUGACCCACACAAAGUGUUGACAGAGGCUCCAAAAAUGGAGAACAGAGCAAUAGAUUGCAAGGAAUUCCACAUAAUAAAGUGAGCUGGAGGUCCAUUCCAUCCAUUAAGGACAUAUAAAGCAGGUGAGCAAAAUUGGUUCUAUAGGAUUAGCUAAUCACCACUUUCAGCUCAUGUGAAAGGUUGAGGAGGCCAGGGGAGUGUUCUUUGGAGAGAACUGUUAAUGUCCUAGCUUCUUUUCCUCCAGUGGGUAAGGAAAUGAUGACUCCUCCCUUCUCCUCAAUUCAGAAAUGUGCUUCAUGUGAAAUACUCAUAAAAUUUGACAUGUGUACCCUGGAGUUUGAGGAACAAAUGAUUUCAUGUUUGAUUUAAAUAUGAACAGUUAUAAAGCCAGAAGCUGUGGCUGGACCUGCCUCUGCCUGAAGGUCGAGCAAAAGGACGUGCCUGCAGGUUGCCUUUUCAUUCACUGGGGAAGGUACCAGUCUCUAAGGGCUAGUCCCUGCAGAGGGGAAACAGACAACAGUGGCUCAUCUUAAAAGGUCUCAUCCAAGUGGAUGGACAAAGGUUUCUUAAUGGAAUGUGGAUAACUGGAAGCCAAGAGCCUAAGAAAAGAAUCGUAAAUGGCUAGAAUGGAGGGCAGAGAGGUGUAGGGGAGGAAGACAUUUCCUCUACCCACUCUAGGUCCUCCUGGCCAGACAAUGAAUUAAAUUGACAGGAGACAGAAUAACAGGAGAAAAUUAAACAAAGCUUUGUAACAUGUAUGCAUGGGAGCGACCCAGGAAAACUGAGUAACUCCCCCAAAUGGCAGAUGUUCUCAUCUUAAAUACCCUCCUCAGCUAAAGGCAAAGGAGGAUGUUGAGGGUGGGGAGAGUCAGUUAUGGGAGAUUACCAGAAAAGCAAGUAAACAAGAGUAAGGUUAUUAUGCAGAUUUAAGUCUUUGCUUUCUGCAUUGUUAAGAGUUUCUAGAGAUAAGGUCAUCCCCCCUUCUUCCUGGUACAGAGAGGGAGACACCUUUACAGAUGGAGAUUUCCUUUACAUGUGUAAAUCUCUCUUAACAAAGGGUAAAUAAAUUCUACUUUUUAGAGUUUCUCUCAUAUCUGCAGCUUUUAAAAGUAACCAGCCCAAAAUAAUCCUCAUGCCAAAGAGAUAUAUCUUGGGGUGGCCAAUUCCGGUUCCCUACAGAGGUGUUAUCUGCUCCAAAGCAAAUUAAUUCAGACAUUUUCAGCUGGGAUGGCAGAGGAAUCUCCAGUGGUGACUCACCAAGUGGGACACUGCUGCCAGAUAUGAAUACAAGCCUGGAUCCCUUGCCUCUAAUUCCCUCCUUAACCUCACUUCUAUCCCUCACUCAGACACUGGAGGGGUCAGAAGCAUGGGGUGGUGAGUAAGGUAAGUUCAAUGAGAAGAGAGAAGAGGCCAGCCAAGUCUCAGGCUACAGUUUCCCAAGCAAGUGUCCUAGCUGUGUGGAGAGGAAAGAUUUAAAUUGGAAAAGGGUUGGAAGUUUCACAUUAUUCUGGA
This 2465-nucleotide long non-coding RNA is filed under the name Equus caballus (horse). Its description in RNAcentral is "lncRNA (ENSECAG00000046971.1)". Lineage: Eukaryota; Metazoa; Chordata; Mammalia; Perissodactyla; Equidae. The record is from RNAcentral.